GCUGGCGGCAGGCCUAACACAUGCAAGUCGAGCGGUAGAGAGAAGCUUGCUUCUCUUGAGAGCGGCGGACGGGUGAGUAAAGCCUAGGAAUCUGCCUGGUAGUGGGGGAUAACGUUCGGAAACGGACGCUAAUACCGCAUACGUCCUACGGGAGAAAGCAGGGGACCUUCGGGCCUUGCGCUAUCAGAUGAGCCUAGGUCGGAUUAGCUAGUUGGUGAGGUAAUGGCUCACCAAGGCGACGAUCCGUAACUGGUCUGAGAGGAUGAUCAGUCACACUGGAACUGAGACACGGUCCAGACUCCUACGGGAGGCAGCAGUGGGGAAUAUUGGACAAUGGGCGAAAGCCUGAUCCAGCCAUGCCGCGUGUGUGAAGAAGGUCUUCGGAUUGUAAAGCACUUUAAGUUGGGAGGAAGGGCAUUAACCUAAUACGUUAGUGUUUUGACGUUACCGACAGAAUAAGCACCGGCUAACUCUGUGCCAGCAGCCGCGGUAAUACAGAGGGUGCAAGCGUUAAUCGGAAUUACUGGGCGUAAAGCGCGCGUAGGUGGUUUGUUAAGUUGGAUGUGAAAUCCCCGGGCUCAACCUGGGAACUGCAUUCAAAACUGACUGACUAGAGUAUGGUAGAGGGUGGUGGAAUUUCCUGUGUAGCGGUGAAAUGCGUAGAUAUAGGAAGGAACACCAGUGGCGAAGGCGACCACCUGGACUAAUACUGACACUGAGUGCGAAAGCGUGGGGAGCAAACAGGAUUAGAUACCCUGGUAGUCCACGCGUAACGAUGUCACUAGCGUUGGGAGCUUGAGCUCUAGUGGCGCAGCUACG
RNAcentral lists this ribosomal RNA (819 nucleotides) under uncultured bacterium. Its description in RNAcentral is "bacterial SSU rRNA". It matches the Rfam family "Bacterial small subunit ribosomal RNA", at positions 35 to 856 of the family's 1533-position model. The record is from RNAcentral.